GACGAACGCUGGCGGCAUGCCUAACACAUGCAAGUCGAACGGAGAAUUCCUUCGGGAAUUCUUAGUGGCGAACGGGUGAGUAACGCGUAGGCAACCUGCCCUUUGGAUGGGGACACAUUCCGAAAGGAGUGCUAAUACCGAAUGUGACGAUUUUACCGCAUGGUUUAAUCGUGAAAGAUGGCCUCUACAUGUAAGCUAUCGCCAAAGGAUGGGCCUGCGUCUGAUUAGCUAGUUGGUGGGGUAACGGCUCACCAAGGCGACGACCAGUAGCCGGCCUGAGAGGAUGAACGGCCACAUUGGGACUGAGACACGGCCCAGACUCCUACGGGAGGCAGCAGUGGGGAAUAUUGGGCAAUGGAGGCAACUCUGACCCAGCAACGCCGCGUGAAGGAAGAAGGCCUUCGGGUUGUAAACUUUUGUUGUAGAGGACGAAGAAAGUGACUGUACUCUACGAGGAAGCCCCGGCUAACUAUGUG
This 476-nucleotide ribosomal RNA is filed under the name uncultured bacterium. Its description in RNAcentral is "bacterial SSU rRNA". It matches the Rfam family "Bacterial small subunit ribosomal RNA", at positions 28 to 507 of the family's 1533-position model. The record is from RNAcentral.